AACCAGCUCUUCAAGUGGUCGGGAUAAUUAUUGGGCUUAAAGUGUCCGUAGCUGGUAAGGUAAGUUCCUGGUAAAAUGGGGCAGCUUAACUGUCUUUAUGCUAGGAAUACUGCUUUACUAGAGGGCGGGAGAGGUCUGAGGUACUACAGGGGUAGGGGUGAAAUCUUAUAAUCCUUGUAGGACCACCAGUGGCGAAGGCGUCAGACUGGAACGCGCCUGACAGUGAGGGACGAAAGCCAGGGGAGCGAACCGGAUUAGAUACCCUGGUA
RNAcentral lists this ribosomal RNA (269 nucleotides) under uncultured prokaryote. RNAcentral describes it as "partial 16S ribosomal RNA". It matches the Rfam family "Archaeal small subunit ribosomal RNA", at positions 474 to 743 of the family's 1478-position model. The record is from RNAcentral.